UGGGGAAUAUUGGACAAUGCGGGAAACCGUGAUCCAGCAAUGCCGCGUGAGUGAUGAAGGCCUUAGGGUUGUAAAGCUCUUUUACCCGGGAUGAUAAUGACAGUACCGGGAGAAUAAGCUCCAGCUAACACCGUGCCAGCAGCCGCGGUAAUACGGAGGAUGCAAGCGUUAUCCGGAAUAAUUGGGCGUAAAGCGUUCGUAGGUGGUUUUGUAAGUCUGCUGUUAAAGCGUGUAGCUUAACUACAUAUAGGCGGUGGAAACUACAAAACUAGAGUGCGUUCGGGGCAGAGGGAAUUCCUAGCGUAGCGGUGAAAUGCGUAGAGAUUAGGAAGAACACCGGCGGCGAAAGCGCUCUGCUAGGCCGCAACUGACACUGAGGGACGAAAGCUAGGGGAGCGAAUGGGAUUAGAUACCCCUGUAGUCC
This 424-nucleotide ribosomal RNA is filed under the name uncultured prokaryote. Its description in RNAcentral is "bacterial SSU rRNA". It matches the Rfam family "Bacterial small subunit ribosomal RNA", at positions 355 to 796 of the family's 1533-position model. The record is from RNAcentral.